RNAcentral lists this ribosomal RNA (390 nucleotides) under uncultured bacterium. RNAcentral's name for it is "bacterial SSU rRNA". It matches the Rfam family "Bacterial small subunit ribosomal RNA", at positions 28 to 417 of the family's 1533-position model. The record is from RNAcentral.
GACGAACGCUGGCGGCGUGCUUAACACAUGCAAGUCGAGCGGUAAGGCCCUUUCGGGGGUACACGAGCGGCGAACGGGUGAGUAACACGUGGGUGACCUGCCCUUAGCUCUGGGAUAAGCCUGGGAAACUGGGUCUAAUACCGGAUAUGACCUCAUGACUCAUGUUGUGGGGUGGAAAGCCUUGUGCGGCUAGGGAUGGGCCCGCGGUCUAUCAGCUUGUUGGUGGGGUAAUUGCCUACCAAGGCGACGACGGGUAGCCGGCCUGAGAGGGCGACCGGCCACACUGGGACUGAGACACGGCCCAGACUCUACCGGGAGGCAGCAGUGGGGAAGUCUUGCGCAAUGGGCGGAAAGCCUGACGCAGCGACGCCGCGUGAGGGAUGACGGCCU